AAAGAAACCAACAGGGAUUGCCCCAGUAACGGCGAGUGAAGCGGCAAGAGCUCAAAUUUGAAAGCUGGCUCCUUCGGGGUCCGCAUUGUAAUUUGCAGAGGAUGCUUCGGGAGCGGUCCCCAUCUAAGUGCCCUGGAACGGGACGUCAUAGAGGGUGAGAAUCCCGUAUGGGAUGGGGUGUCCGCGCCCGUGUGAAGCUCCUUCGACGAGUCGAGUUGUUUGGGAAUGCAGCUCUAAAUGGGUGGUAAAUUUCAUCUAAAGCUAAAUAUUGGCCGGAGACCGAUAGCGCACAAGUAGAGUGAUCGAAAGAUGAAAAGCACUUUGAAAAGAGAGUUAAAAAGCACGUGAAAUUGUUGAAAGGGAAGCGUUUGCGACCAGACUCGCUCGCGGGGUUCAGCCGGCAUUCGUGCCGGUGUACUUCCCCGCGGGCGGGCCAGCGUCGGUUUGGGCGGUCGGUCAAAGGCCCUCGGAAGGUAACGCCCCUAGGGGCGUCUUAUAGCCGAGGGUGCAAUGCGACCUGCCUAGACCGAGGAACGCGCUUCGGCUCGGACGCUGGCAUAAUGGUCGUAAGCGAC
This 575-nucleotide ribosomal RNA is filed under the name Penicillium polonicum. RNAcentral's name for it is "eukaryotic LSU rRNA". It matches the Rfam family "Eukaryotic large subunit ribosomal RNA", at positions 58 to 648 of the family's 3401-position model. The record is from RNAcentral. Lineage: Eukaryota; Fungi; Ascomycota; Eurotiomycetes; Eurotiales; Aspergillaceae.